This 3113-nucleotide long non-coding RNA is filed under the name Homo sapiens (human). Its description in RNAcentral is "HSALNT0307708". The record is from RNAcentral. Lineage: Eukaryota; Metazoa; Chordata; Mammalia; Primates; Hominidae.
AGCCACCGCGCCCGGCCCCUGACUUUUUAAUGAUCGCCAUUCUAACUGGCAUGAGAUGGUAUCUCAUUGGGGAACAUCUUAAAAGAAAAGCAUAUAAUUGCCAUUUGCACUUCCUCACCUCUUUAUCCACUCUUCAGCCUACUGCAAAUUGACUUUUGACCUCUUUAAUCUACUGAAAUGGCUCAUGCAAAGAGACUUUUUAUAAAAAUCACAUAUAAUUUAGAUUUUUUAUUUUCUGCAUAAAUCUCUUUAAUUUUAUGUGAUAAUACAGUGCAUGAUUAUUUGUUGAGCCGUUAAUUUUGUAUUAGCCAAAGAGAAAGUUGAACCUGUCAGUUAAACUGGGUGGAAUAAGAAAUAAUAUUUUAAAAUUAGCAGUAAAUAGAAACUUGCACAAUAAAAAUAUUUUUGUGUCACUUGAAAUAUUACCAUUGGUUGCAAGUUUUAAAGAUGUAAAAGGUGUCUUCUUUCACGUUCACUUUUUUUUUCAGUAGAGAUACUGACUGCAGGCAGCUUGCCUCUUUUGUUUUUUUGGCUUAUAGUCACAGUAUUUGAGCACAAAUUUAAUGAAGCAUUGUUUAAUUGAGACUUCCCUGUAGUGACACAACAAUAUUGCAAAUUUUUUUCAUAGGCAUUUCCUCACUUAAUUCUCAAACAAGUUUUGUCUUUUUUUUUUCAUCACGAUAUCUGUAGACAGGAUCAAACAACUUUUGAAGGGUAUUUGAUUUCCCCCUAUUUACAGAUUUAAGAAACUGAAACUCAAAAGAGACAAAUUGCCACAUUCAUCCUGCCACAGGGUGUGUGUGUGUGUGUGUGUGUGUGUGUGUGUGUGUGUGUGUGUGUGUGUGUUUUCUGACUCUAAACGUAGAGCAGUUUCUACUAUGCCCCAGCCACUUGGAUGUAGUAUGUGUACAAAAGUGACAACACGAUAUAGUGAUUCUUCAAAGUAGGUUUAUUGUUCUAAUUGACAUUUUUCUUCAAACAUUAUAGGAUUAUACAUUUCCAACAAUUUUAAGCAAUUUUGAUGCUUAUCAAAAUGUUGUAUAUUUAAUAAGUUUUUGCAUUAAAUGAGUUUAGGUUGGCAAUAAGGAACCACCAUAUACUUUAAUAGAUACUAUUUCAUACCACAGUUGUGUUGUCUUUAAUACAGAGAUGAGUGUUUAAUACUCUUUUGCAAUGGGAAGAAGUUAAAGGAGUUUGAGUUAAAAUAGUGAGAGAAAUAAUUGAAUAUGAUUGUUACCUUAAAUAUAGCCACAGUCUGUUGAUUUAAGCUUCAGUUAGUCCUAACAUAUUCAACAUAUUCAUAACAAAAUUUUUUGGGCAUCUCUGGCUCAUUUAUUAAUACCUAUGAACCUGCAAAACACUGCUGUAUUUGUAAGACUGAUAUGUAUGGGAUAAUGUAUGCGAUAAGCAAAAAUCUUAGUUUUCUAGCUAGCUUUUGAAAUGAAAGUAAUGGAAACAUGACUACUCAGAUUUAAAAAAACCAGGCUUUACCUUUCGUAGUUCAAUUUAUAUUAGUACAAAUUCUUCUCAAAGGUGGUCUCCUUGAGAAGGUGCACAGGCUACUGGAAAUAGUGAAGACAGUAAUAAGAAGAAGAUUAACUGGCUUACUUACCAAGAAAAUGAAUUCAGGAAAUUUGAUUCUCGUAGAGAUCUAGAACAAGCAAACAGGAUGAACAACCACUUAUUUUGGAAUAGUGUAUUUAAAUUUGAGAAAGAGUGAUCUUUUCUUUCUCCGAAGGGUUAAGAAUGUGAUCAAAAGCCUGGAGCUGAAAGAAGGAUAAUAUGUAUGGGAGACAGUGAGGACACUUGCCUGACCAGAGCAGGACCAGAAACCAGAAAUGCAAUUUGCCAAGCAUAUGAAGAAUAUGUUUUUACUGGUUUUUGAUAACUUAAAAUACUUCUUCAUCUAAAACCAGGCUGAUCUUGAGAAAGAUUUUAAAGGAGAUUAGAAAAUUCACUUUAACAAACCACUAUCAUAUAGUCACAUCAAUCUUUCGUAGAUAUUUUUGCAAACAAUUACCAGAAUUCUUAGAGUUUAUUACAGAUAUUUUGUUCUUGACCUUUGACACUUGCCAUUUAGCAAUUGCAUGGUUUUACUUUUGUGGUUGUAGAGUUUCUGUUUUUCUUUCAUUAGAAUGAUGUAAGUAGAGGAAUAGAAACUGUUAUAUUUGCAAAAAAAGAGCAAAGAUGCUUUGUGACCUUGGGAAUUAUAUUUGAAGGUUACUCACAAGAGAAUACCUUGUUUAGGAAAGAUGGUUAAUUUUUUUCUUGCAAGCAGACUUUUUUACAAAAUUAGUUAAUGGCAAAUGUGUUCUUUGCUGAAUAUUAAUCUAUAGUAUCAUUUAAGAUGUUCUUAAUUUAUGUUUCUGGACUUUGUUUAAAUGUCAAACUCUAGAAAGGGUAAACUAGCUCACCCCACUGCUAGGUAAUAGCUAGUAUUGUCUUCGCUGCAGGGCAUUUUACAGUAAAAUUUUGAAGUAUAUUGAAAAAAGUUACCAGUUCACUUACUAUACAAUAGCUUGGAAUGUGAAUGUCUGAAAGAAGAAAAAUUCAAUAAAUGACUAUGUAGUUAUUUGGUGGAAUUCACAACAUAAUAACAAGAAAAGGUUUUCAGCUUUGAUCAUAAUGGAAAUGAGUCAUUUAAUUUUACCCUCAGUCCUGGUACACAGUUUCAGCACCUGCUAAGAAGUCGGCUUGCAUUUAAAUGACUUAGGCAAUUAUUAAAAGCAAGUUUCAAGAAAUAAAUGGCAUUUAUAUAAAAAGGAGACUGGGCUCAAACUGCUAGUGCUUUAAAUUUCCAUAAAAGCAAAUUCAAGUUCAGAACAGGAUUCAGGAUUUAGUAACAAUUCAAAGGUUUUCAAUCCCUUAAUCUCUUUGUGAUAACUAUAUUCAUCAUGUAGCCAUUUUUAAAAGGAAGAGAAUAAAAAUGUUAACAUUGAUGUCUACCAGCACUUGUGACUGAAAAAUUGAUUAUAUAUGGUAAAUACUUAUGGCUCCAAAUAGCUAUUUGAUUUAUAAUUUUGGUAUUGAAAUGUAAUGAAAUACUUCUAUUGUAUUUGCAAUCGCUGGAAGAGUAGUAUGAAUCAUACUUCAAAUAAAAAUGCUUCUUUUUA